This 253-nucleotide ribosomal RNA is filed under the name uncultured bacterium. RNAcentral describes it as "partial 16S ribosomal RNA". It matches the Rfam family "Bacterial small subunit ribosomal RNA", at positions 524 to 776 of the family's 1533-position model. The record is from RNAcentral.
UACGUAGGGUGCGAGCGUUGUCCGGAAUUACUGGGCGUAAAGAGCUCGUAGGUGGUUUGUCGCGUUGUUCGUGAAAACUCACAGCUCAACUGUGGGCGUGCGGGCGAUACGGGCAGACUGGAGUACUGCAGGGGAGACUGGAAUUCCUGGUGUAGCGGUGGAAUGCGCAGAUAUCAGGAGGAACACCGAUGGCGAAGGCAGGUCUCUGGGCCAUAACUGACGCUGAGAAGCGAAAGCAUGGGGAGCGAACAGG